CAGCACCUCAAGUGGUCAGGAUGAUUAUUGGGCCUAAAGCAUCCGUAGCCGGCGCUGUAAGUUUUCGGUUAAAUCUGUACGCUCAACGUACAGGCUGCCGGGAAUACUGCAGCGCUAGGGAGUGGGAGAGGUAGACGGUACUCGGUAGGAAGGGGUAAAAUCCUUUGAUCUAUUGAUGACCACCUGUGGCGAAGGCGGUCUACCAGAACACGUCCGACGGUGAGGGAUGAAAGCUGGGGGAGCAAACCGGAUUAGAGACCCGAGUAGCCC
RNAcentral lists this ribosomal RNA (270 nucleotides) under uncultured archaeon. RNAcentral's name for it is "partial 16S ribosomal RNA". It matches the Rfam family "Archaeal small subunit ribosomal RNA", at positions 477 to 747 of the family's 1478-position model. The record is from RNAcentral.